CGAAAGAAGUGUCUGGCAACUGAAGGUAUUGUCGUUGUGUCAAUAAUCUAACGCUUCUCGGAGGAUUUUGAUAAUGACUGACUGUGGUAACUUCGAUGUGGAGUCGUAUCGCCAACCGUGGGAGAGUGAUGAACAUUGGGUUAUGAGAAGAGACUUCUUAGUAACUCAUUCUGACAAGCUGCCUUUGAAUAGACUCUUGUGUUUAGCUCAAGUAUUUGUAAAUGUUGAGCUUUUAGGCUGCAGGUACCCUGUUCCAGUGAUGCGACAAGUAGCUGAACUUUCGAAGGAUAUAAAUAGUGCAAGAGAUUUGCAUAGUAAGCGGCAGGAUCGAACACAAAUUCAUUUUGUCAUGUCAAAUGAGGCCAAAAGGUCGCAACCUGUUAAAAGAACAUCAAAAUUAUCGUGAAUUUUGUGUGCAAGUGUGAGUUAGUUAAUACAGAAGUUUGAUGGAUUAUUUGGUAAUAAAAAACAUCGUAAACCUUGA
Molecule: unclassified non-coding RNA, 484 nt
Filed under: Limulus polyphemus (Atlantic horseshoe crab)
Lineage: Eukaryota; Metazoa; Arthropoda; Merostomata; Xiphosura; Limulidae
Description: partner of xrn-2 protein 1-like, transcript variant X1
Source: RNAcentral